AACGAACGCUGGCGGCAUGCCUAACACAUGCAAGUCGAACGAGACCUUCGGGUCUAGUGGCGCACGGGUGCGUAACGCGUGGGAACCUGCCCUUAGGUUCGGAAUAACUCCCCGAAAGGGGUGCUAAUACCGGAUAAUGUCUUCGGACCAAAGAUUUAUCGCCUUUGGAUGGGCCCGCGUUGGAUUAGCUAGUUGGUAGGGUAAAAGCCUACCAAGGCGACGAUCCAUAGCUGGUCUGAGAGGAUGAUCAGCCACACUGGGACUGAGACACGGCCCAGACUCCUACGGGAGGGAGCAGUGGGGAAUAUUGGACAAUGGGCGAAAGCCUGAUCCAGCAAUGCCGGGGGAGUGAUGAAGGCCUUAGGGUUGUAAAGCUCUUUUACCCGGGAUGAUAAUGACAGUACCGGGAGAAUAAGCUCCGGCUAACUCCGUG
Molecule: ribosomal RNA, 433 nt
Filed under: uncultured bacterium
Lineage: Bacteria
Description: partial 16S ribosomal RNA
Rfam family: Bacterial small subunit ribosomal RNA
Source: RNAcentral